RNAcentral lists this ribosomal RNA (268 nucleotides) under uncultured soil bacterium. RNAcentral describes it as "partial 16S ribosomal RNA". It matches the Rfam family "Bacterial small subunit ribosomal RNA", at positions 26 to 321 of the family's 1533-position model. The record is from RNAcentral.
AGAACGAACGCUGGCGGCAUGCCUAAUACAUGCAAGUCGAACGAACACUUCGGUGUUAGUGGCGCACGGGUGCGUAACGCGUGGGAAUCUGCCCUUGGGUUCGGAAUAACAGUUGGAAACGACUGCUAAUACCGGAUGAUAUCGAAAGAUCAAAGAUUUAUCGCCCAGGGAUGAGCCCGCGUAGGAUUAGCUAGUUGGUGAGGUAAAGGCUCACCAAGGCGACGAUCCUUAGCUGGUCUGAGAGGAUGAUCAGCCACACUGGGGACUG